This 256-nucleotide ribosomal RNA is filed under the name uncultured bacterium. RNAcentral's name for it is "partial 16S ribosomal RNA". It matches the Rfam family "Bacterial small subunit ribosomal RNA", at positions 338 to 614 of the family's 1533-position model. The record is from RNAcentral.
CCUACGGGAGGCAGCAGUGGGGAAUAUUGGACAAUGGGCGAAAGCCUGAUCCAGCAAUGCCGCGUGAGUGAUGAAGGCCUUAGGGUUGUAAAGCUCUUUUACCAGGGAUGAUAAUGACAGUACCUGGAGAAUAAGCUCCGGCUAACUCCGUGCCAGCAGCCGCGGUAAUACGGAGGAGCUAGCGUUGUUCGGAAUUACUGGCGUAAAGCGCGCGUAGGCGGCGAUUCAAGUCAGAGGUGAAAGCCGGCGGUCAACC